AGUUUCCGGAGAGAAAAAGGCAUGCAGGAUUAUGUAAACUUUUAUACUUCUUAGUAAUUUAGCAAAACUCAAAUAUGCUUUCCUGGACACGUCUUUCUUCGUUGUCGCAGAGAAUAGGAUUGCGAUACGCGAAGACUUUAACUAGGGCAUCUAAAAAUACGAAAAAGUCAAAAGAGGAUAAGAAUAAGAACAAUGCUUGUUCAGAGGUAAAACCAGCUCCUGAUUACAUCCAAACCCGACUAGAUUUGUGGAAUAAAUGGAAGGAAUCCUACACUAAUUGGUUGGCAGAUCAACCGAGUAUAGAUAUUACAAUUACAUUGCCUGAUGGUAAAGAAGUAAAGGGUCAAUCAUGGCGCACAACCCCCUAUGAGAUUGCUAAAGGAAUCAGUCAGGGACUGGCUGAUAACACUGUGAUAUCCAAGGUGAAUGAUGAAUUGUGGGAUAUUGAACGCCCACUGGAAAAAGAUUGCACCAUCAAGUUUUUAAAAUUUGAUGACGAUGAAGGGAAGCAAGUAUUUUGGCAUUCCAGUGCACAUAUUCUUGGAGAGGCCAUGGAACUGAAAUAUGGUGGCCACCUUUGUUAUGGACCACCAAUUGAGGGAGGCUUUUAUUAUGACAUGUUCAUUGAUGAUGGGCAAGUAUCAAGUAAUGAUUAUAACACCCUUGAAACUGCUGUCAAGUCAAUAGUGAAAGAGAAGCAACCUUUUGAAAGAUUAGAAGUGAAGAAAGAAGAUCUUUUAGAGAUGUUUAAGUAUAACAAAUUCAAGCAAAGAAUUCUGAAUGAGAAAGUCACCACGCCAACAACUACGGUAUAUCGAUGUGGGUCUCUGAUUGACUUGUGUCGCGGGCCUCACAUAAGGCACACUGGUAAAGUGAAAGCUCUUGCUGUUACCAAGAAUUCCUCCACUUAUUGGGAAGGUAAGGCUGAUGCUGAAUCUUUAAACAGGAUAUAUGGUAUAUCCUUCCCAGAACCAAAACAAAUGAAGGAAUGGAAACAUUUGCAAGAGGAAGCAGCAAAGAGAGACCAUCGUAAGAUAGGCCGGGAACAAGAACUGUUUUUCUUUCAUGAACAAAGUCCAGGUAGUUGCUUUUUCCUACCAAAAGGGGCCCACAUUUAUAAUAAACUUAUUGAAUUUAUUAGAAGUGAAUACUGGAAAAGGGGUUUCCAAGAAGUAGUGACCCCUAAUAUUUACAACAGUAAACUAUGGGAAAUUUCAGGCCAUUGGCAGCACUAUGCGGAGAAUAUGUUCUCAUUUCAAUCUGAGAAAGAAACAUUUGCUCUGAAACCAAUGAACUGCCCUGGCCAUUGUUUGAUGUUUGAUCAUCGACCAAGGUCAUGGAAAGAACUACCACUCAGGCUUGCCGAUUUUGGUGUCCUUCAUCGAAAUGAACUGUCUGGAGCUUUGAGUGGCCUGACGAGAGUCAGAAGGUUUCAACAAGAUGAUGCCCAUAUAUUUUGCCGACAGGAUCAGAUAAAAGAAGAAAUCACUGGUUGUUUAGACUUCUUGAAGAAUAUUUAUGGUAUAUUUGGGUUUACUUUUAACCUAAAACUAUCCACCCGACCUGAGAAGUAUAUGGGAGAGCUGGAGAUGUGGAAUGAAGCUGAGAAGCAAUUAAGUGAAUGCCUUGAUGAUUUUGGCUGUAAUUGGAAAAUUGAUCCUGGAGAUGGUGCUUUUUAUGGACCAAAAAUUGACAUCACAAUCUUGGAUGCGUUACAGCGGCCGCACCAAUGUGCUACUAUCCAGCUUGACUUUCAGUUACCUCUUCGAUUCAAUCUCUCUUAUAUCAGUGGAGAAGGUGGUGACAAGAAAACACCUGUGAUUGUCCAUCGUGCUAUUCUUGGUUCUGUUGAGAGAAUGAUUGCUAUCCUUUGUGAAAACUAUGCCGGGAAAUGGCCUUUCUGGCUUUCUCCACGCCAGUCCAUUGUUGUUCCUGUUGCCCCACCGUUUGAUGAUUAUGCUCAACUCGUGAGCAAACAAAUUCAUGAUGCUGGAUUUAUAUGUGAUGUAGAUUUAGAUCCUGGUACUACCAUGAACAAGAAAAUCCGCAAUGCUCAGUUGGCUCAAUAUAAUUUCAUAUUUGUUGUUGGUGAGAAAGAGGUGCAGAAUCUAACUACUAAUGUACGUACCCGAGAUAACAAGGUCCAUGGUGAACAUAGCAUUGUCAACAUCAUUGAACGUUUCAAGGAUUUGAACCAGAGUAAAAUACCUGAUGCUGAAGAAAAAUUCUAAGAUCAAUAAAUCAAUAUGUACGUUGUUUCAUCUCUAUUGAACACAUCUAGAACAUACUUUCUCUUCUGAAAUAACAUUUGUCUUCUUCUGUUCCAUUUUGUUUUGUUAUUUGUUGCAAGGUACACCUGUUUUUUUUCCUUCAUGAUUGCCAAGUUUUGGAAUGGCUCUUUGGUACCAUUCCUUAAUUGAUGUGCCUCUGUUAAACUAUACUUACUGCUUACUGUUUCAUUAUAAAUUCUUCUGGUGGUACCAUUCUCUAUAUGUCUCCCUUUAUGUAUAUAUGAAAA
Molecule: RNA transcript, 2518 nt
Organism: Octopus sinensis (East Asian common octopus)
Lineage: Eukaryota; Metazoa; Mollusca; Cephalopoda; Octopoda; Octopodidae
Gene name: threonine--tRNA ligase 1, cytoplasmic
Exons: 21
Source: RefSeq, a predicted model, not a curated record